GCGGUGGUUGUCCAGUGGUAGAAUUUUCACCUUCCAUGCAGAAGACCCAGGUUUGAUUCCUGGCCAGUGCG
Molecule: transfer RNA, 71 nt
Filed under: Loxodonta africana (African savanna elephant)
Lineage: Eukaryota; Metazoa; Chordata; Mammalia; Proboscidea; Elephantidae
Rfam family: tRNA
About the family: Transfer RNA (tRNA) molecules are approximately 80 nucleotides in length. Their secondary structure includes four short double-helical elements and three loops (D, anti-codon, and T loops). Further hydrogen bonds mediate the characteristic L-shaped molecular structure. tRNAs have two regions of fundamental functional importance: the anti-codon, which is responsible for specific mRNA codon recognition, and the 3' end, to which the tRNAs corresponding amino acid is attached (by aminoacyl-tRNA synthetases). tRNAs cope with the degeneracy of the genetic code in two manners: having more than one tRNA (with a specific anti-codon) for a particular amino acid; and 'wobble' base-pairing, i.e. permitting non-standard base-pairing at the 3rd anti-codon position.
Source: Rfam by way of RNAcentral